Medicago truncatula (barrel medic) is the source of this 88-nucleotide microRNA precursor. It matches the Rfam family "MIR2617 microRNA precursor family". Lineage: Eukaryota; Viridiplantae; Streptophyta; Magnoliopsida; Fabales; Fabaceae. The record is from Rfam.
UUGCAAUGUAGCAUACCCGUUUGGUGAAAUACUCUGAUGAUUAUUGUUAUUUAUUUACUUUUGGGUAACGGGGUGUUACAAGUUUGGG